Molecule: ribosomal RNA, 424 nt
Filed under: uncultured bacterium
Lineage: Bacteria
Description: partial 16S ribosomal RNA
Rfam family: Bacterial small subunit ribosomal RNA
Source: RNAcentral
AAUAUUGGACAAUGGGUGGAACGCUGAUCCAGCCAUGCCGCGUGCGUGAAGUAGGUCUUCGGAUUGUAAAGCACUUUAAGUUGGGAGUAGGAGUUGUAGGCUAAUACCUUGCAAUUUUGACGUUACCAACAUAAUAAGCACCGGCUAACUUCGUGCUAGCAUCCGCGGUAAUACGCGGGGUGCAAGCGUUAAUCGGAAUUACUGGGCGUAAAGCGCGCGUAGGUGGUUCGUUAAGUUGGAAGUGAAAGCCCCGGGCUCAACCUGGGAACUGCUUUCAAAACUGACAAGCUAGAGUAUGGCAGAGGGUGGUGGAAUUUCCUGUGUAGCGGUGAAAUGCGUAGAUAUAGGAAGGAACACCAGUGGCGAAGGCGACCACCUGGGCUAAUACUGACACUGAGGUGCGAAAGCGUGGGGAGCAAACAGG